This 432-nucleotide ribosomal RNA is filed under the name uncultured bacterium. Its description in RNAcentral is "partial 16S ribosomal RNA". It matches the Rfam family "Bacterial small subunit ribosomal RNA", at positions 29 to 506 of the family's 1533-position model. The record is from RNAcentral.
AACGAACGCUGGCGGCAUGCCUAACACAUGCAAGUUGAACGAGACCUUCGGGUCUAGUGGCGCACGGGUGCGUAACGCGUGGGAACCUGCCCUUAGGUUCGGAAUAACUCCCCGAAAGGGGUGCUAAUACCGGAUAAUGUCUUCGGACCAAAGAUUUAUCGCCUUUGGAUGGGCCCGCGUUGGAUUAGCUAGUUGGUAGGGUAAAAGCCUACCAAGGCGACGAUCCAUAGCUGGUCUGAGAGGAUGAUCAGCCACACUGGGACUGAGACACGGCCCAGACUCCUACGGGAGGCAGCAGUGGGGAAUAUUGGACAAUGGGCGAAAGCCUGAUCCAGCAAUGCCGCGUGAGUGAUGAAGGCCUUAGGGUUGUAAAGCUCUUUUACCCGGGAUGAUAAUGACAGUACCGGGAGAAUAAGCUCCGGCUAACUCCGU